Molecule: ribosomal RNA, 254 nt
Filed under: uncultured bacterium
Lineage: Bacteria
Description: partial 16S ribosomal RNA
Rfam family: Bacterial small subunit ribosomal RNA
Source: RNAcentral
UACGGAGGGUGCAAGCGUUAAUCGGAAUUACUGGGCGUAAAGGGCGCGUAGGCGGCCAGCACAAGUCAGUUGUGAAAUCUCCGGGCUUAACUCGGAAAGGUCAACUGAUACUGUGCGGCUAGAGUGCAGAAGGGGCAACUGGAAUUCUCGGUGUAGCGGUGAAAUGCGUAGAUAUCGAGAGGAACACCUGCGGCGAAGGCGGGUUGCUGGGCUGACACUGACGCUGAUGCGCGAAAGCCAGGGGAGCGAACGGG